GACGAACGCUGGCGGCGUGCUUAACACAUGCAAGUCGAACGGAAAGGCCCUGCUUUUGUGGGGUGCUCGAGUGGCGAACGGGUGAGUAACACGUGAGUAACCUGCCCUUGACUUUGGGAUAACUUCAGGAAACUGGGGCUAAUACCGGAUAGGAGCUCCUGCUGCAUGGUGGGGGUUGGAAAGUUUCGGCGGUUGGGGAUGGACUCGCGGCUUAUCAGCUUGUUGGUGGGGUAGUGGCUUACCAAGGCUUUGACGGGUAGCCGGCCUGAGAGGGUGACCGGCCACAUUGGGACUGAGAUAGGGACCAGACGCCUACGGGAGGCAGCAGUGGGGAAUAUUGCACAAUGGGCGGAAGCCUGAUGCAGCAGCGCCGCGUGCGGGAUGACGGCCUUCGGGUUGUAAACCGCUUUCGCAGGUGACGAAGCGUGAGUGACGGUAAUGGGUAAAGAAGCAACGGCUAACUACGUG
RNAcentral lists this ribosomal RNA (468 nucleotides) under uncultured bacterium. Its description in RNAcentral is "partial 16S ribosomal RNA". It matches the Rfam family "Bacterial small subunit ribosomal RNA", at positions 28 to 507 of the family's 1533-position model. The record is from RNAcentral.